GGUUAUACUUCAAGGGUGAGUAAAAAAGUUUUGGGUUAGUUAAAUGUAAUCGUUAUAUUCUAUAAAUAUUAAAAGGUAAAAUUGAUUUAAUAUUUUGUAGUAAAAGUUAGAUAAAAAUUGAAGCUAAUAAAUUUAGGUUAAAAAUUAGGAUUAGAUACCCUAUUAUUCCUAAAUAAAUUUGUCCCGGGGUUAGUAAUAGGUAUUUACUUAAAAGCUAAAAAAUUUGGCGGUAAUUUAAUCUUUUCAGAGGAACUUGUUUUUUAAUCGAUAAACCGCGAAUUAUCUUGCUUACCUUAGUAAAGAAGUUUGUAUACCGUCAUUAUCAGGUAAUUUUUAAAAAAUAAAUUUCUUAGACUAAAAGAUUAUUAAAAUUASAUCAUGGUGCAGCUUAUGGGUAAGUUAAAAUGAGUUACAAUAAAUUAUUUUAUACGGAUGAUUCAGAAGAAAAUUUAAUCUGAAGGAGGAUUUGGUAGUACUUGAGGUUUAAUAUGCUUUAAGGAUGUAAG
RNAcentral lists this ribosomal RNA (506 nucleotides) under Pinnotheridae sp. 1 KYKC-2019. Its description in RNAcentral is "partial small subunit ribosomal RNA". Lineage: Eukaryota; Metazoa; Arthropoda; Malacostraca; Decapoda; Pinnotheridae. The record is from RNAcentral.